ACGGGAGGCAGCAGUGGGGAAUAUUGCACAAUGGGCGCAAGCCUGAUGCAGCGAUGCCGCGUGAGGGAAGAAGGUUUUCGGAUUGUAAACCUCUGUCAACAGGGACGAUAAUGACUGUACCUGUGAAGGAAGCUCCGGCUAACUACGUGCCAGCAGCCGCGGUAAUACGUAGGGAGCAAGCGUUAUCCGGAAUUACUGGGUGUAAAGGGAGUGUAGGCGGGACUGUAAGUCAGAUGUGAAAUAUGCCGGCUCAACUGGCAGACUGCAUUUGAAACUGCGGUUCUUGAGUGAAGUAGAGGUAAGCGGAAUUCCUAGUGUAGCGGUGAAAUGCGUAGAUGUUAGGAAGAACACCAGUGGCGAAGGCGGUUAGCUGGACAAUAACUGACGCUGAGGCGCGAAAGCGUGGGUAGCAAACAGGAUUAGAUACCCUGGUA
Molecule: ribosomal RNA, 434 nt
Filed under: uncultured Ruminococcus sp.
Lineage: Bacteria; Bacillati; Bacillota; Clostridia; Eubacteriales; Oscillospiraceae
Description: bacterial SSU rRNA
Rfam family: Bacterial small subunit ribosomal RNA
Source: RNAcentral